UGAACAAUCGAAUAAUCGACUAAAACAUCUCGGACUCGCCCAUUACUAAGGUUGAGACAACUAAUUUAUAUCAGUGCUUUGUUUUAUAGGACGAUAUAAAAUUUCUGCAAAGUAUAACAAUGAGUGACAAGGAACUAGCAGCAGACACAAAAGAUUGCUAUGAACCAGUGGACAAUGCGUGGACCCUAAAAGUGCCCGAGUUUAAACCUGAGGACAAUCCAAGUGGCAUGAUAGAAGAGAGCUCAUUUGCUACUCUAUUUCCUAAGUAUAGAGAAAAAUAUCUCAAGGAAGUCUGGCCACUAGUGAAACAAUGUCUCUCAGACUAUCAUUUAAAAGCGGAACUAGAUCUGGUAGAGGGUAGUAUGGUUGUGAAAACUACUCGUAAAACUUGGGAUCCUUAUAUUAUCAUCAAGGCGCGGGAUGUGAUAAAAUUGAUGGCGCGCAGCGUUCCCUUCGAGCAAGCGCGUCGUGUUUUACAAGAUGAAAUUGGCUGUGAUAUCAUUAAAAUUGGAAAUUUAGUUACAAAAAAGGAUAAGUUCGUGAAGCGCCGUCAACGCCUAAUUGGUCCCAAUGGAGCAACCCUUAAAUCAAUUGAAUUGCUUACUGAUUGCUAUAUUUUAGUGCAAGGCAAUACUGUGGCAGCCUUAGGUUCUUACAAGGGUUUGCAACAAGUGCGUGACAUUGUAAUAGAUACAAUGAAAAAUGUGCAUCCUAUUUACAAUAUCAAGGCUUUAAUGAUUAAACGUGAAUUAAUGAAAGAUCCGAAACUUGCUAACGAGGAUUGGUCGCGAUUCUUACCAAAAUGUAAAAGUAAGAAUAUUAAACGUAAACAGCCUAAGUUCAAAAAUCUAAAGAAGGAAUAUAUGCCUUUCCCAUCUCCACAAGCUGAGAGCAAAAUCGACCAACAACUCUCAACGGGAGAAUAUUUUCUCAGUAAGGAACAGAAACAAGCACGAAAACAACAAGAGCGCCAUACAAAGCAAUCUGAAUCUGCCAAAAAACAAGAGAAACGCCGCAAUGAAGAUUUUAUACCACCCAUUGAAGAUAUGCUGUCGAUAAGUCGCAAGAGUUCGCCUGAUAAACAAACUAAGGAAUUGAAUAUUAAGGCACUGAAAGCAAAGGUAGCAAAAGUCACUAAAAUUAUGAAGAAAUAAAGAUAAGAUUAGCUGCAUAUUUCUGGAUGGCCGCGUGCAUGCCUUCGAUCAGGUGUACCCAAUCGAGCGAAACUAUAACAAUAUCCUAACAAAUUUCUUGAAGGACCGGAUAUAAUACUGCUUCAUGAGCACUACAGAUAUCGCAA
This 1300-nucleotide unclassified non-coding RNA is filed under the name Rhagoletis pomonella (apple maggot). Its description in RNAcentral is "kRR1 small subunit processome component homolog, transcript variant X2". The record is from RNAcentral. Lineage: Eukaryota; Metazoa; Arthropoda; Insecta; Diptera; Tephritidae.